UACGUAGGGCGCGAGCGUUGUCCGGAAUCACUGGGCGUAAAGGGCGCGUAGGUGGUUUGAUAAGGGUGUGGUGAAAGUCGGGGGCUCAACCCUCGAAUGCCGGUGGAUACUGUCGGGCUAGAGUGCGGAAGAGGCGAGUGGAAUUCCUGGUGUAGCGGUGAAAUGCGCAGAUAUCAGGAGGAACACCAAUUGCGAAGGCAGCUCGCUGGGACGUAACUGACGCUGAGACGCGAAAGCGUGGGGAGCAAACAGG
RNAcentral lists this ribosomal RNA (253 nucleotides) under uncultured bacterium. RNAcentral's name for it is "partial 16S ribosomal RNA". It matches the Rfam family "Bacterial small subunit ribosomal RNA", at positions 524 to 776 of the family's 1533-position model. The record is from RNAcentral.